CAACUAACUAAUCAGUUCUGUCCAUUAUAGUUCCUCCAGAAAAUUCUCCAGAAAUCACUGGUGGUUUCACAGAAUAUGGAGAGAACCUCACCAUCCGAUGCUCUUCUGUGAGAUCGAAACCUGCUGCCAACCUAACAUGGUAUAUCAACGACGUCAUGAUGAUUCCAGAAGGAGCCUACGAAUCACAAGAAGUCAUUCGUCAUCAGGACCAGUUAGAAACUUCUUCCUCUCAGCUUGAUAUACCUCUGGAAUCAAGUUCUUUGCCAGAUGGAAUACUGAGACUAGCUUGUGAAGCUUCUAUUUCCAACUUCGUGACCUCCAUAUCCAAGGAGUUGCUCAUAUCCAGAGAGCACAACGAUCAACCACCGCAAUCACACAUUGAUCCACAAGACAAUGGGACACAAAAUACGCAUUUCGAGUCUCUUUUAUAUAUUGGAUGUAUUGUGUGGCUAGGAUUGUUACGAAAAUUUUAACCAAGAACUCUUAUUUGUGAUAAGUGAUCGUUCAUUGUUUAAAUUUAUUUUCCAUCUGUUAAUUUUUUUAAAUUAUGUGUGUAAUUUGUCAUUUAGCCAUUGUUUAUAACAUAGAUUUUAAAUGUGGAAGUGUUAUAGCAUCAUUAUCACACUUAUUGUUUGUACGUAAUUAAUAAAAUUGACGUGCGUUCA
This is a long non-coding RNA of Stegodyphus dumicola, 665 nucleotides long. The record is from RefSeq and is a predicted model, not a curated record. Lineage: Eukaryota; Metazoa; Arthropoda; Arachnida; Araneae; Eresidae.